CCGAGUACGGGCCCCCGCGGCCCAACCUCCCACCCUUGUCUCUAUACACCUGUUGCUUGGCGGGCCCACCGGGGCCACUGGUCGCCGGGGGACGCUCGUCCCCGGGGCCCGUGCCCGCGGAGCGCCCUGUGACCCUGAUGAGAUGGGCUGUCUGAGUACAAUGAAAAUUGUCA
This 173-nucleotide unclassified non-coding RNA is filed under the name soil metagenome. Its description in RNAcentral is "partial internal transcribed spacer 1". The record is from RNAcentral.